AGGUAUCUGAGAUGUGCGAGUCAUACUUUUUGUGUUGACCUUACAAUCUUUUAAUAAGGGGCUUUAAGAUGUUUCGUAGGAUGAAACGCCAGUCCCUCUGGACUUCAGCAAUACGAACCGUAAGCCCCACCUGCUUAUAACGCGGGUUCAAAACAAUCUUAUGAAAUACGGCAUCAUCGGAUACCUU
RNAcentral lists this non-coding RNA (187 nucleotides) under Dolosicoccus paucivorans. RNAcentral describes it as "6S / SsrS RNA". It matches the Rfam family "6S / SsrS RNA". Rfam says of the family: E. coli 6S RNA was the first non coding RNA to be sequenced, but its function was unknown until recently. The record is from Rfam by way of RNAcentral. Lineage: Bacteria; Bacillati; Bacillota; Bacilli; Lactobacillales; Aerococcaceae.